CCUACGGGGGCUGCAGUGGGGAAUAUUUCACAAUGGGGGAAACCCUGAUGCAGCGACGCCGCGUGAGUGAAGAAGUAUUUCGGUAUGUAAAGCUCUAUCAGCAGGGAAGAAAAUGACGGUACCUGAUUAAGAAGCCCCGGCUAACUACGUGCCAGCAGCCGCGGUAAUACGGAGGGGGCAAGCGUUAUCCGGAUUUACUGGGGGUAAAGGGGGCGUAGACGGUGAUGCAAGUCAGAAGUGAAAUCCCGGGGCUCAACUCCGGGACUGCAUUUGAAACUGUGUGACUGGAGUGCAGGAGAGGUAGGCGGAAUUCCUGGUGUAGCGGUGAAAUGCGUAGAUAUCAGGAGGAACACCAGUGGCGAAGGCGGCUUACUAGACUGUAACUGACGUUGAGGCUCGAAAGCGUGGGGAGCAAACAGGAUUAGAUACCCUAGUAGUC
This 439-nucleotide ribosomal RNA is filed under the name uncultured bacterium. Its description in RNAcentral is "partial 16S ribosomal RNA". It matches the Rfam family "Bacterial small subunit ribosomal RNA", at positions 338 to 795 of the family's 1533-position model. The record is from RNAcentral.